Long non-coding RNA from Oryzias javanicus (javanese ricefish), 1802 nucleotides. The record is from Ensembl. NCBI's taxonomy places the organism in Eukaryota, Metazoa, Chordata, Actinopteri, Beloniformes, Adrianichthyidae.
AAUCAUAGAAGAGUGGCGGGCGAGGAGGCGGGCAAGGAGGCGGUUCGGAGGGGGUCGCCCGACCGUCCGACUCCGGUUCAGUCGACCGUCCGACUGCGGUUCAGUCGACCGUCCGACUGCGGUUCAGUCGACCGUCCGACUGCGGUUCAGUCGACCGUCCGACUGCGGUCAGUCGACCGUCCGACUCCGGUUCAGUCGACCGCCCGACUGCGGUUCAGUCGACCGCCCGACUGCGGUUCAGUCGACCGUCCGACUGCGGUUCAGUCGACCGCCCGACUGCGGUUCAGUCGACCGUCCGACUCCGGUUCAGUCGACCGUCCGACCCCGGUUCGGUGGCAUUUGGUCAACCGUCCGACCUCGGUUCGGCGGCGGUUCGGUCGACCGUCCGACUGCGGUUCGGCGGCGGUCCGUCCCCUCAGUUCAACACCGUGGAGUUGGUGGAGCGGUCGACCGUCCAGCAGACUAACCUGCACUGAUCAACACGCACGCCGGGAGGAUUGCUCGGAAUCAAACCUGCAACGGAAGCAUGACGGCGUCUCGCCCUGUGAGGAGCUGGAGGUCGAGGAAACUCAAGCUGAUGGAUGGGGGCAGAAAUCAAACCUUCUGGGCUCCACAGACAGACACAUGUCCAUGUGUCCAAAGAACAGAGAAAGUCAGUCAGGAGCUGAGGGUCCGACAGGUCCGAUGGGCGGUAAAGUGCAAGAUAUGGGGGGCGGGGGGGUACAAAAAACACCAACAUGCAAACUCCACAACUUUUGCAUGCCUUAUUUCUUAUUCUCUUUAGAAUUAUAAAAACACAACGAUGGGAGGGGUCGGCUGGAGGGAAGAGGGGCGCCCCGACCCUCGCUGUCUUCUUUUGCAAACAACACACAGCAAGCGGACGGGGGGGGGCGAAACACUCAUACAGACUCACUUUGCCAAGCUAAUUCACAGAGCGGAAAGCCUUUCUGCUGUAAUGGAUCGACUUCUGAUCGGGCGGGGGCACAGUCAAAAAACUGACCUGCACUGGAGUCCCCGCCCACAGUCACCGCCCCUGAACUUCUGAAAACGUCAGGACCAAUGAAACGUCAGUGAAAGAGGAACGCAGACGAUGACCUCACGGCGGCUGGUCUCUGACACGCUUGGGACGCGCCGUCGGGGAGGGACGUGGGCGGGGCCGAGCUUUGGUGGACACGGAGUAUUUUUGGCUUUACGGGACACGAAUGGAAAGAACUCCUCUCCUCCUAAACUUGAAGCUAAAACACUUUCAUCUAAACAGCAACUAGACAUCUAAAGCUAACGGCGCUACUCGCUACGACUCCAGAGAAAAUACCGACGCUACACUAAACCAGGACGACCGCUACAGAUUCAUCAAAAAAAGCCUCGCGACGAGUGAGUUCACGCUGGUCUCAACGGAGGUGUGAACCUCCGUAUCACACGACCUCUGACCCGGAGCACCGGUUUGUGGAGGUGAGACUCGGGACGUCCCACACGGAGCGGUUCACGUCUCUGAUGGUUUCUGGUUCACCUGCUCUGAUGUUUGAGUGGAGACGUUUGUCUGAACUUCACGUCGUCUUCAACGAGUCAAACAUGCAUUUCACAACAUUGAAACUUUUGUCUCAGUUAGCCUGGCUGAGCUCAUGUGCUUCUUCAGGUUAGCAUGGAUGCUACCGCUAGUGUCCAGAUGAUCUUCUUACUAUCCUUUGAAUUCAAACGUCUUGUUUUUCCAGCGCUGCCUUGAACAAACAGAAGGAGUUUUUUACAGUAAAGAGACAGAAAACGCGUGAAAGCUCUUCAAUGAGCGUCUACACAAACUACACGAU